UCGCCUGUUUAUCAAAAACAUAGUUUUAUGAAAAAAUAUAAAAUUCAACCUGCCCAGUGUAAUUAUAAAUGGCCGCAGUACCUUGACUGUGCUAAGGUAGCAUAAUCAAUUGGCUUUUAAUUAAAGUCUGGAAUGAAAGGGAAAAUGAAAAAUAACUGUCUUGAAUAUAAUAUAUAAAAUUUAUUUAUCAGGUGCAAAUACCUGUAUUUAGAAUAAAGACGAGAAGACCCUAUGAGUUUUAAUUAAUAUUAAUCACUGAAUUAUUUAUUUUUUUGUUGGGGCGACAUGUUAACAUUUUGAACUUAACUUAUAAUAUAUUUAGCGUAAUUGUAAAAUGAAUUUAAACUACCUUAGGGAUAACAGCAUAAUUUAUUUUUAAGUUUGUGACCUCGAUGUUGGACUAGGAACUAUAUGGCUAACCGUUAAAUUAGAUUUGUUCUGUUCGAACAACACUAUCCUACGUGAUCUGAGUUCAGACCGGA
Molecule: ribosomal RNA, 482 nt
Filed under: Helicorbis sp. TS-2018
Lineage: Eukaryota; Metazoa; Mollusca; Gastropoda; Planorbidae
Description: partial 16S ribosomal RNA
Rfam family: Bacterial large subunit ribosomal RNA
Source: RNAcentral